Molecule: ribosomal RNA, 265 nt
Filed under: uncultured prokaryote
Description: partial 16S ribosomal RNA
Rfam family: Bacterial small subunit ribosomal RNA
Source: RNAcentral
UUCAGAGGUCCCGAGCGUUGUUCGGAUUUACUGGGCGUAAAGGGAGCGUAGGCGGUUCGGUAUGACGAAUGUGAAAGCCCACAACUCAACUGUGGAAAUGCAUUCGAAACUGCCGGGCUAGAGUACUGGAGAGGAGAGCGGAAUCCUUGGUGUAGCGGUGAAAUGCGUAGAUAUCAAGAGGAACACCGGUGGCGAAGGCGGCUCUCUGGACAGAUACUGACGCUGAGGCUCUAAAGUUAGGGGAGCAAACAGGAUUAGAUACCCU